AGGGGUAUGGCUCAGGGGUAGAGCAUAUAACUACAGAUCAAGAGGUCCCUGGUUCGAAUCCAGGUGCCCCCU
Molecule: transfer RNA, 72 nt
Organism: Chlorocebus sabaeus (green monkey)
Lineage: Eukaryota; Metazoa; Chordata; Mammalia; Primates; Cercopithecidae
Rfam family: tRNA
About the family: Transfer RNA (tRNA) molecules are approximately 80 nucleotides in length.
Source: Rfam